Molecule: ribosomal RNA, 301 nt
Filed under: uncultured bacterium
Lineage: Bacteria
Description: partial 16S ribosomal RNA
Rfam family: Bacterial small subunit ribosomal RNA
Source: RNAcentral
CAGUCGCCGCGGGAAUACGAAGGGUGCAAGCGUUAAUCGGAAUUACUGGGCGUAAAGCGUGCGUAGGCGGUUUGUUAAGUCUGCUGUGAAAUCCCCGGGCUCAACCUGGGAAUGGCAUUUGAAACUGGCAAGCUAGAGUCUUGUAGAGGGGGGUAGAAUUCCAGGUGUAGCGGUGAAAUGCGUAGAGAUCGGAAGGAACACCUGUGGCGAAAGCGGCUCACUGGACCAUCACUGACGCUGAUGCACGAAAGCUAGGGGAGCAAACAGGAUUAGAUACCCCGGUAGUCCCUGUCUCUUAUAC